This 752-nucleotide ribosomal RNA is filed under the name uncultured bacterium. Its description in RNAcentral is "bacterial SSU rRNA". It matches the Rfam family "Bacterial small subunit ribosomal RNA", at positions 94 to 823 of the family's 1533-position model. The record is from RNAcentral.
AGUGGCGAACGGGUGAGUAACGCGUAGGCAACCUGCCCUCUGGUUGGGGACAACAUUCCGAAAGGGAUGCUAAUACCGAAUGAGAUCCUCUUUCCGCAUGGAGAGAGGAUGAAAGAUGGCCUCUACUUGUAAGCUAUCGCCAGAAGAUGGGCCUGCGUCUGAUUAGCUUGUAGGUGAGGUAACGGCUCACCUAGGCGAUGAUCAGUAGCCGGUCUGAGAGGAUGAACGGCCACAUUAGGACUGAGACACGGCCCAAACUCCUACGGGAGGCAGCAGUGGGGAAUCUUCCGCAAUGGACGAAAGUCUGACGGAGCAACGCCGCGUGAGUGAUGAAGGUCUUCGGAUUGUAAAACUCUGUUGUCAGGGACGAAAGCACCGAUCUAUAAUACAUUUUGGUGUUGACGGUACCUGACGAGGAAGCCACGGCUAACUACGUGCCAGCAGCCGCGGUAAUACGUAGGUGGUAAGCGUUGUCCGGAAUUAUUGGGCGUAAAGAGCAUGUAGGCGGGCUUUUAAGUCCGACGUGAAAAUGCGGGGCUUAACCCCGUAUGGCGUUGGAUACUGGAAGUCUUGAGUGCAGGAGAGGAAAGGGGAAUUCCCAGUGUAGCGGUGAAAUGCGUAGAUAUUGGGAGGAACACCAGUGGCGAAGGCGCCUUUCUGGACUGUGUCUGACGCUGAGAUGCGAAAGCCAGGGUAGCAAACGGGAUUAGAUACCCCGGUAGUCCUGGCCGUAAACGAUGGGUACUAGGUGU